Molecule: ribosomal RNA, 474 nt
Filed under: uncultured bacterium
Lineage: Bacteria
Description: bacterial SSU rRNA
Rfam family: Bacterial small subunit ribosomal RNA
Source: RNAcentral
GACGAACGCUGGCGGCGUGCUUAACACAUGCAAGUCGAGCGGUAAGGCCCCUUCGGGGGUACACGAGCGGCGAACGGGUGAGUAACACGUGAGCAAUCUGCCCUUCACUUUGGGAUAACUCUGGGAAACGAGAGCUAAUACCGAAUACGACCACUUCAGGCAUCUGAUGGUGGUGGAAAGUUCCGGCGGUGAAGGAUGAGCUCGCGGCCUAUCAGCUAGUUGGUGGAGUAACGGCCCACCAAGGCUUCGACGGGUAGCCGGCCUGAGAGGGUGACCGGCCACACUGGGACUGAGACACGGCCCAGACUCCUACGGGAGGCAGCAGUGGGGAAUAUUGGACAAUGGGCGAAAGCCUGAUCCAGCAACGCCGCGUGAGGGAUGACGGCCUUCGGUUGUAAACCUACUUUCAGUAGGGACGAAGCGCAAGUGACGGUACCGUACAGAAGAAGCACCGGCCAACUACGUAGCCAGCAG